RNAcentral lists this ribosomal RNA (685 nucleotides) under bacterium SVAL2.11. RNAcentral describes it as "bacterial SSU rRNA". It matches the Rfam family "Bacterial small subunit ribosomal RNA", at positions 56 to 733 of the family's 1533-position model. The record is from RNAcentral.
UGCAGUCGAGCGGUAGCACAGAGAGCUUGCUCUUGGGUGACGAGCGGCGGACGGGUGAGUAACGCGUAGAAAUCUGCCUGGUAGUUGGGGAUAGCCCGGAGAAAUCCGGAUUAAUACCGAAUGUGCUCUUAGGAGGAAAGCGGGGGAUCUUCGGACCUCGCGCUACCAGAUGAGUCUGCGUAGGAUUAGCUAGUUGGUGGGGUAAAGGCUCACCAAGGCGACGAUCCUUAGCUGGUCUGAGAGGAUGAUCAGCCACACUGGGACUGAGACACGGCCCAGACUCCUACGGGAGGCAGCAGUGGGGAAUAUUGGACAAUGGGGGCAACCCUGAUCCAGCCAUGCCGCGUGUGUGAAGAAGGCCUUCGGGUUGUAAAGCACUUUCAGUGGUGAGGAAGGGUGUUGUGUUAAUAGCGCAAUACAUUGACGUUAGCCACAGAAGAAGCACCGGCUAACUCCGUGCCAGCAGCCGCGGUAAUACGGAGGGUGCAAGCGUUAAUCGGAAUUACUGGGCGUAAAGCGCGCGUAGGCGGUUUGUUAAGUGAGAUGUGAAAGCCCCGGGCUCAACCUGGGAAUUGCAUCUUAUACUGGCAGGCUAGAGUAUGGUAGAGGUGGGUAGAAUUCCUGGUGUAGCGGUGAAAUGCGUAGAGAUCAGGAGGAAUACCGGUGGCGAAGGCGGCCCACUGGA